CUGCAAAGCUUUGUUCUGCAGGUAGGGCUGGGCUUUUCAUUGACCAUGGGUUGGAAUAGUUCUGUGGGCAUAGUGUGCCUUCGAAGCCACUAUGUGUUCCGCACUUGUGACUAGAGAGCACCUUGAUAGCUCAGUUUGUAGAGCGGUGGACUGUAAGAUGCUCCUUGUGUGAAACGCUUUGAUCCUAAGGUCGCUGGUUCAACUCCAGCCGGAAGCACCUCCUUGUCAUU
Xyrichtys novacula (pearly razorfish) is the source of this 230-nucleotide non-coding RNA. Lineage: Eukaryota; Metazoa; Chordata; Actinopteri; Labriformes; Labridae. The record is from the annotation of a GenBank genome assembly.